UGGGAUAGGCUGAGGCAAAGGGAAGCCUCUCCCCCUGUGCAGCCCAGGCGCCGGGCGCUGGCUCUCCAGCUGUGUGUAGGCCUGGGGGCCAGGGUCCGCGGAACGUAGCGCCGACUGCGGCCCCGCCCGCCCGCCCAGCCGCUGGUCCGGCCGCGGGCUCCCGCCACCACCGCGCUCAAUCUGGGACCAGCCGCCUGGCAGGCCGUUCCGGUGCGCCUGCCCGCGCUUUUCACUGACGGGCACUGUUUCCCACAGCCAGUGCCGCCCGCCACGUCCCAGCUCUCGGCCAACGGAGGUGUGCGUCGGGUGACCUUUCCGAGCCCAGUGCGAUGACGGCUCUGUGCUCCUGGCCGGCACAGCUUCCUGGGCGCCGCCAGCUCGGGCUAAUGCCUUUCCCGCCGCCGCAGCCGCGGACGCCGCUGCUGUGGCCGCUGGUGCUGCUGCUGCUGCUGGCCGCCGUGGCGCCGGCGCGCGGCUGGGAGAGCGGAGACCUGGAGUUGUUUGACUUGGUGGAGGAGGUGCAGCUCAACUUCUACCAGUUCCUCGGAGUGCAGCAGGAUGCAUCAUCUGCAGACAUCAGAAAAGCAUAUCGUAAGCUUUCACUAACUUUACAUCCAGACAAGAAUAAAGAUGAAAAUGCAGAAACUCAGUUUAGACAAUUGGUGGCCAUUUAUGAAGUUUUAAAGGAUGAUGAACGAAGGCAGAGGUAUGAUGAUAUUCUGAUCAAUGGACUUCCAGAUUGGCGACAGCCUGUAUUCUACUACAGGCGGGUGAGAAAAAUGAGCAAUGCUGAGCUGGCAUUACUCUUAUUCAUUAUUCUCACAGUGGGUCAUUAUGCUGUAGUUUGGUCAAUCUACCUGGAAAAACAACUGGAUGAACUGCUAAGUAGAAAAAAGAGAGAAAAGAAAAAAAAGACUGGCAGCAAGAGCGUGGAUGUAUCCAAACUUGGUGCUUCAGAAAAAAAUGAAAGAUUGCUGAUGAAACCACAGUGGCAUGAUUUGCUUCCAUGCAAACUGGGGAUUUGGUUUUGCCUUACACUAAAAGCAUUACCUCACCUAAUCCAGGAUGCUGGGCAGUUUUAUGCUAAAUAUAAAGAAACAAGAUUGAAGGAAAAGGAAGAUGCACUGACUAGAACUGAACUUGAAACACUUCAAAAACAGAAGAAAGUUAAAAAACCCAAACCUGAAUUUCCUGUAUACACACCUUUAGAAAGUACAUAUAUUCAGUCUUAUGAUCAUGGAACUUCCAUAGAAGAAAUUGAGGAACAAAUGGAUGAUUGGUUGGAAAACAGGAACCGAACACAGAAAAAACAGGCACCUGAAUGGACAGAAGAGGACCUCAGCCAACUGACAAGAAGUAUGGUUAAGUUCCCAGGAGGGACUCCAGGUCGAUGGGAAAAGAUUGCCCACGAAUUGGGUCGAUCUGUGACAGAUGUGACAACCAAAGCCAAGCAACUGAAGGAUUCAGUGACCUGCUCCCCAGGAAUGGUUAGACUCUCCGAACUCAAAUCAACAGUUCAGAAUUCCAGGCCCAUCAAAAGUGCCACCACCUUGCCUGAUGACAUGAUCACCCAGCGAGAGGACGCAGAGGGGGCGGUGGUGGAGGAGGAGCAGGGGGGAGACUCUGGUGAGCAGGAGACGGGGGGCACCGAGGCCCGACCUCGGAGGCGGAAGCCAGCCAGGCUGCUGGAGACUACCGCGAAGCUGGAGCCAGAGGAGAAGUCCAGAGCCAGGCGGCAGAAGGACUUUGACGUAGCAGAACCAAAUGAGUCCAGCGACGAGGAGAGCCAGAAAAAAGAGAGAGCUCGGGCUGCAGAGGAGCCGUGGACUCAGAAUCAACAGAAACUUCUGGAACUGGCGUUGCAGCAGUACCCAAAGGGAUCCUCUGACCGCUGGGACAAAAUAGCCAGAUGUGUCCCGUCCAAGAGCAAGGGCGUGGAAAUAGUGUGAUGAAUGCAGCUUGCCUGAACGUGAAAAUCAUGAAGAUAACCAGAACACAGUUAAGGGACGUGAUUUGAUAAAAUGAGAUGUUUUCUCUAAGGAGUAAAGUGAGGGUACAGUUUCCUGGAGGAUAGUUUGGGUGACAGAGGUUCCCACUCUGCAGUGCAAGCUUCUUUCCAUACAGAGGACAUGGAACCAGAACGCCCCAGGGUAGAGGUGAGUCCUGGUCCUGCCCCAGCCCUCGUGAAGACCCACCUGCCUCAGAGAAUGGCUGAGCCCCAGAGACACCUGAGUCAGGACCCAGCCUGGCAGGAUCUCCUACAACUACGUGCACCGGCACCUGUGCUGCAGGUCUGCCGCCCCUAGCCACGGACCAGCACCUGAGCUCAGGCCUUUAAGACCAGGAGUUGGCUCUGCAGGCUGAGGAGAGGUGAGACUUUGGUGUGGGGGCCUGCGUGACUGCAACUGGACAAGGUUAGUCAUUUGGUGAAAACAUGUUGGUAUUUUCUAAAACAAAUCCGACUUCUAAAUAUUGGGCUGAAACAUGAAUGGUGUUUCUCUCGGGUCUGGGGACUCCCUUUGUAACCACACUCCAGGCCAGGCCCGAGUCUGAGACGUGGAGUGGGAGCCAGGCCAGGCCCGAGUUUGAGACGCGGAGUGGGAGCCAGGCCAGGGUGGCCUCUUGCCCUCACAGCCUUGUCAGGAACGGUCCCAAACCAAGAGUGUCCCUGGGUCAUCUGUGGGUCAUACAGUAUACCGUUUACAAAAUGAAAUCGACAGAUUUGGGGGGCAACAGUAGGGUCGCCAUGUGAUUUACUGUGGCCUAAGUCAUAAAGGAAAAUGAGCCAUGUUGGUCAUGUUUGCUUUUGUUAUUACUCAAAAAGAAAUAUCUUGUAAAAUGUGAGAUAAAAUGUCUCAUUGCUUAUACUGUCAUUUUGGUUCCAAUCUUGGUUUCACAAAGUUAGAUAUCACUGCAGUUAAACAGAUGUCUUGACAUAUUUGAUCUCAACUGUUUUCCCUUCAGAGGCUUGGCUUAAAAAAUCACUAUUGGAAAUUUGCUGUUUGGAUACAAUUAUGUCUGUCCUGUUCUGUUAAAAACUAGAAUUUAAAAAUUG
This is an RNA transcript of Cercocebus atys (sooty mangabey), 3055 nucleotides long. It is a transcript of the gene named DnaJ (Hsp40) homolog, subfamily C, member 1, with no coding region annotated. Lineage: Eukaryota; Metazoa; Chordata; Mammalia; Primates; Cercopithecidae. The record is from RefSeq and is a predicted model, not a curated record. The transcript is spliced from 13 exons.